This is a long non-coding RNA of Chelonia mydas (Green sea turtle), 584 nucleotides long. RefSeq lists it as uncharacterized. Lineage: Eukaryota; Metazoa; Chordata; Testudines; Cheloniidae. The record is from RefSeq and is a predicted model, not a curated record. The transcript has 3 exons.
AUGAAUCUGUCUGGAGGCAGAGCAGAGCAGCUGGGAGCUGGCAGUUAUUGUUAUUACUAGAGCUGGGUGUGAUUUUUCCAUGAAACAUCUCUUUGAUGGAAAAUGUCGAUUCCUCUAAACCAAAACUUUUCCAGGAAACAUUCUCAGUCUUGACUUUGGGCCAAAAGAUUUCUCGGGGCCAGGAUGAAGUUCCUGGUCAGAACAUAGGUGACAGAAAGAGACCCCACUUCUCAGGAGGCAGAUUCAGAGCAGGAGCUUGAAUCUGGAUCUCUCGCAUCCCCGUUAAGGUUGUGUAAGCUCUCCAGGGCAGGGAAUGUCCCUGGCCCUGUGUUUGUACACCACCGAGCACAGUGGGACCCUGAUCUCAGCUAAGCACUACUGUUCUCUGAACACUAAAAAGGCUGCCAUUAUUUCUGUGGCUUUAAUACCGUGAACAGUAAAAUGAAAUGUUCCACGGCAACGUGUUCAUUACAAAGGCCGAGGUCAUGAGUAUCCCAAAAAAGAUGUUGAAUCGGAGCCAUUCGUGCCAGCCUCGACGCCAUUCAGCAAAGCCUCUUCUGAGGAACCAACCCCAGUAACAGCGC